This is a long non-coding RNA of Leopardus geoffroyi (Geoffroy's cat), 743 nucleotides long. RefSeq lists it as uncharacterized. NCBI's taxonomy places the organism in Eukaryota, Metazoa, Chordata, Mammalia, Carnivora, Felidae. The record is from RefSeq and is a predicted model, not a curated record. The transcript has 2 exons.
UUUCAUUUUAAGGCUUGGAAGCACUCCUGGAAUUAACCAGAGAUACCCUGGAGAAUGAGCUGUAGGGAUGAGAAUCACUGAAUGAGAAGCUGAAAAUCAGGAGGCUAGCAAGCAACGACAGGUACUCAAAGCAUCGUACUGUCAACACAGCGAGUUCUGCUGUCGCCUGCAUCAUAAUCUGUUUCUUAGUAACACUUGGUCUGAGCAGCCGUAAUAGAAUUAAUUAUACUUCAUUUUGCUGCCUUUAACAGUAUUGACCAAAUUUAAGAACAAAUGAGAAGUGCUUAUCAAGCUUGAAGAAAAUAAUCCAUCAGUGGCACAAUUUAAAUUCUCUGCAGUUCUCUUAUUAAUCAAAGUAACACUUACUAUCCUAUCUCCACUUCCCAUUAACAGUCAUUAAGCCCUGCUGCUGAUUGAAGCAAUUUCUUUAGGGAUCUCAACCUCAUUUUUAAGAGAACCUUCUUUAGUGGAAAACAAUAUCAUAUAAACGCAGCAACUUAAGAGAGAGGGAGAAGGUUCUUCAAUCAUGUUCUGACCUUGAUAGUUUUCAAUGGUGUGAGUUCAAAAAAGUACCCAACUGUGAUUCUGGAAACUUCGAGAGUGGAUGGGCUGUCCUUGCCUCAGCACCUGAAGGAGGCACGACUCGAACAGGCAAGGCUUGGACUUGGCUCAAACCGCUUGCCGGCCUCUCUGGAGCACUACGGCCCUUGUUCUGGUCUUUCGCUCACAGUGUCUGAUGCUUC